UGCUUUGAACAAAACACCCUCAUUGAACCUGAACUCCUCAGAUCUCGGAAGCUAAGCCGGAUUUUAAGCCUGCUUAAUACUUGUGUGGGAGACAACCUGGGAAUGCCAGGUUUUAUAGACG
Molecule: ribosomal RNA, 121 nt
Filed under: Petromyzon marinus (sea lamprey)
Lineage: Eukaryota; Metazoa; Chordata; Hyperoartia; Petromyzontiformes; Petromyzontidae
Source: RNAcentral